RNAcentral lists this unclassified non-coding RNA (334 nucleotides) under soil metagenome. RNAcentral's name for it is "partial contains 5.8S ribosomal RNA, internal transcribed spacer 2, and large subunit ribosomal RNA". The stretch from base 4 to 119 matches the Rfam family "5.8S ribosomal RNA", at positions 39 to 154 of the family's 154-position model. The record is from RNAcentral.
GAUAAGAACGUAGCGAAAUGCGAUAAGUAAUGUGAAUUGCAGAAUUCAGUGAAUCAUCGAAUCUUUGAACGCACAUUGCGCCCGCCAGUAUUCUGGCGGGCAUGCCUGUUCGAGCGUCAUUUCAACCAUCAAGCCCCCGGCUUGUGUUGGGGACCUGCGGCUGCCGCAGGCCCUGAAAACCAGUGGCGGGCUCGCUAGUCACUCCGAGCGUAGUAAUACAUCUCGCUCAGGGCGUGCUGCGGGUUCCGGCCGUUAAAAAGCCUUAUUUACCCAAGGUUGACCUCGGAUCAGGUAGGAAGACCCGCUGAACUUAAGCAUAUCAAUAAGCGGAGGA